This 442-nucleotide ribosomal RNA is filed under the name Pseudomonas aeruginosa. RNAcentral's name for it is "bacterial SSU rRNA". It matches the Rfam family "Bacterial small subunit ribosomal RNA", at positions 338 to 794 of the family's 1533-position model. Lineage: Bacteria; Pseudomonadati; Pseudomonadota; Gammaproteobacteria; Pseudomonadales; Pseudomonadaceae. The record is from RNAcentral.
CCUACGGGCGGCUGCAGUGGGGAAUAUUGGACAAUGGAGGGAACUCUGAUCCAGCAAUUCUGUGUGUGUGAAGAAGGUUUUAGGACUGUAAAACACUUUUAGUAGGGAAGAAAAAAAUGACGGUACCUACAGAAGAAGCAACGGCUAAAUACGUGCCAGCAGCCGCGGUAAUACGUAUGUUGCGAGCGUUAUCCGGAAUUAUUGGGCUUAAAGGGCAUCUAGGCGGUAAGACAAGUUGAAGGUGAAAACCUGUGGCUCAACCAUAGGCUUGCCUACAAAACUGUUGAACUAGAGUACUGGAAAGGUGGGUGGAACUGCACGAGUAGAGGUGAAAUUCGUAGAUAUGUGUAGGAAUGCCGAUGAUGAAGAUAACUCACUGGACAGAAACUGACGCUGAAGUGCGAAAGCUAGGGGAGCAAACAGGAUUAGAUACCCCAGUAGU